GACCAUCCAGCUCAGUUGGUAGAGUGCAAGGCUCUUAACUUUGGGGUCGUGGGUUCAAAUACCAUAGUGGGCG
Non-coding RNA from Brassica rapa (field mustard), 73 nucleotides. The record is from Rfam. Lineage: Eukaryota; Viridiplantae; Streptophyta; Magnoliopsida; Brassicales; Brassicaceae.